GCCUUGAAGUGGGGGAUAGCCCGGAGAAAUCCGGAUUAAUACCGCAUGUGAUCUACGGAUCAAAGCGGGCCUCUUCUUGAAAGCUCGCGCUUUGAGAUAAGCCUACGUCGGAUUAGCUAGUUGGUAGGGUAACGGCCUACCAAGGCGACGAUCCGUAGCUGGUUUGAGAGGAUGAUCAGCCACACUGGGACUGAGACACGGCCCAGACUCCUACGGGAGGCAGCAGUGGGGAAUAUUGGACAAUGGGCGCAAGCCUGAUCCAGCAAUGCCGCGUGUGUGAAGAAGGCCUGCGGGUUGUAAAGCACUUUUAUCGGGAAAGAAAGCCUCGGGUUAAUACCCCGUUGGCCUUGACGGUACCCGAAGAAUAAGCACCGGCUAACUCCGUG
RNAcentral lists this ribosomal RNA (386 nucleotides) under uncultured bacterium. Its description in RNAcentral is "bacterial SSU rRNA". It matches the Rfam family "Bacterial small subunit ribosomal RNA", at positions 128 to 507 of the family's 1533-position model. The record is from RNAcentral.